Molecule: ribosomal RNA, 427 nt
Filed under: uncultured bacterium
Lineage: Bacteria
Description: bacterial SSU rRNA
Rfam family: Bacterial small subunit ribosomal RNA
Source: RNAcentral
UGGGGAAUUUUGGACAAUGGGCGAAAGCCUGAUCCAGCCAUGCCGCGUGAGUGAAGAAGGCCUUCGGGUUGUAAAGCUCUUUCAGACGGAAAGAAUACUUCUGGGCUAAUACCCUGGGAGGAUGACGGUACCGUAAGAAGAAGCACCGGCUAACUACGUGCCAGCAGCCGCGGUAAUACGUAGGGUGCGAGCGUUAAUCGGAAUUACUGGGCGUAAAGCGUGCGCAGGCGGUUAUGUAAGACAGAUGUGAAAUCCCCGGGCUCAACCUGGGAACUGCGUUUGUGACUGCAUAACUAGAGUACGGCAGAGGGAGGUGGAAUUCCGCGUGUAGCAGUGAAAUGCGUAGAUAUGCGGAGGAACACCGAUGGCGAAGGCAAUCCCCUGGACCUGUACUGACGCUCAUGCACGAAAGCGUGGGGAGCAAACA